This is a long non-coding RNA of Carassius auratus (goldfish), 468 nucleotides long. RefSeq lists it as uncharacterized. Lineage: Eukaryota; Metazoa; Chordata; Actinopteri; Cypriniformes; Cyprinidae. The transcript has 2 exons. The record is from RefSeq and is a predicted model, not a curated record.
CAGACUGAAAGUCCUCUUAAGAUCCCCAGGAGAGUUUCCACGGCUGAGGAUGAGUGUGUGGAUAAAGAGAUGUCAAAAGAUCGGAAAAAGAGCCACUCCAAGAUCCACUGGACACAACUGGCCUCAAACGGUACAUCCUCACAGUCAGAUCCAAAAUCACAAAAAAAACAUUGAUCAAUGGCAGGAAAUCUACAGGUAACAAGCUAACCACAUGAUCUGUAGUAAUUUGAAGGCAAAGCCUGUUCUUCAUCACUUGUUUUAAAGUUCAGAUUCAAGAACUUGAACUUGUUGUAAAUGUUAGGUUUUGUAGUUGUAUGAACAUGGUAUUGUUUACCUUGCAUAAAAUGAAAUAUGUAGCCUUGAAUUAUGCCGAUAUUAGCCAGAUGACUUACUGUAAAUUGCUUAUGUGAUAUGUUAUGUGAAGACUCUCAACAUUGCAUGUAUUUGGGAAAAUAAAAUGUAGGUGUG